Molecule: ribosomal RNA, 495 nt
Filed under: uncultured bacterium
Lineage: Bacteria
Description: bacterial SSU rRNA
Rfam family: Bacterial small subunit ribosomal RNA
Source: RNAcentral
GAUCAUGGCUCAGAUUGAACGCUGGCGGCAUGCCUUACACAUGCAAGUCGAACGGCAGCGGGCCUUCGGGUGCCGGCGAGUGGCGAACGGGUGAGUAAUGCAUCGGAACGUGCCAUUGAGUGGGGGAUAACGUAGCGAAAGUUACGCUAAUACCGCAUAUUCUGUGAGCAGGAAAGCAGGGGACCGCAAGGCCUUGCGCUCUUUGAGCGGCCGAUGUCAGAUUAGCUAGUUGGUGAGGUAAAGGCUUACCAAGGCGACGAUCUGUAGCGGGUCUGAGAGGAUGAUCCGCCACACUGGAACUGAGACACGGUCCAGACUCCUACGGGAGGCAGCAGUGGGGAAUUUUGGACAAUGGGCGCAAGCCUGAUCCAGCCAUGCCGCGUGAGCGAAGAAGGCCUUCGGGUUGUAAAGCUCUUUCGGCCGGGAAGAAAUCGCAUGGGUUAAUACCCUGUGUGGAUGACGGUACCGGAAUAAGAAGCACCGGCUAACUACGUG